GAUAAACGCUGGCGGCGUGCCUAAUACAUGCAAGUCGAGCGAACGGACGAGAAGCUUGCUUCUCUGAUGUUAGCGGCGGACGGGUGAGUAACACGUGGAUAACCUACCUAUAAGACUGGGAUAACUUCGGGAAACCGGAGCUAAUACCGGAUAAUAUUUUGAACCGCAUGGUUCAAAAGUGAAAGACGGUCUUGCUGUCACUUAUAGAUGGAUCCGCGCUGCAUUAGCUAGUUGGUAAGGUAACGGCUUACCAAGGCAACGAUGCAUAGCCGACCUGAGAGGGUGAUCGGCCACACUGGAACUGAGACACGGUCCAGACUCCUACGGGAGGCAGCAGUAGGGAAUCUUCCGCAAUGGGCGAAAGCCUGACGGAGCAACGCCGCGUGAGUGAUGAAGGUCUUCGGAUCGUAAAACUCUGUUAUUAGGGAAGAACAUAUGUGUAAGUAACUGUGCACAUCUUGACGGUACCUAAUCAGAAAGCCACGGCUAACUACGUGCCAGCAGCCGCGGUAAUACGUAGGUGGCAAGCGUUAUCCGGAAUUAUUGGGCGUAAAGCGCGCGUAGGCGGUUUUUUAAGUCUGAUGUGAAAGCCCACGGCUCAACCGUGGAGGGUCAUUGGAAACUGGAAAACUUGAGUGCAGAAGAGGAAAGUGGAAUUCCAUGUGUAGCGGUGAAAUGCGCAGAGAUAUGGAGGAACACCAGUGGCGAAGGCGACUUUCUGGUCUGUAACUGACGCUGAUGUGCGAAAGCGUGGGGAUCAAACAGGAUUAGAUACCCUGGUAGUCCACGCCGUAAACGAUGAGUGCUAAGUGUUAGGGGGUUUCCGCCCCUUAGUGCUGCAGCUAACGCAUUAAGCACCCCGCCUGGGGAGUACGACCGCAAGGUUGAAACUCAAAGGAAUUGACGGGGACCCGCACAAGCGGUGGAGCAUGUGGUUUAAUUCGAAGCAACGCGAAGAACCUUACCAAAUCUUGACAUCCUUUGACAACUCUAGAGAUAGAGCCUUCCCCUUCGGGGGACAAAGUGACAGGUGGUGCAUGGUUGUCGUCAGCUCGUGUCGUGAGAUGUUGGGUUAAGUCCCGCAACGAGCGCAACCCUUAAGCUUAGUUGCCAUCAUUAAGUUGGGCACUCUAAGUUGACUGCCGGUGACAAACCGGAGGAAGGUGGGGAUGACGUCAAAUCAUCAUGCCCCUUAUGAUUUGGGCUACACACGUGCUACAAUGGACAAUACAAAGGGCAGCGAAACCGCGAGGUCAAGCAAAUCCCAUAAAGUUGUUCUCAGUUCGGAUUGUAGUCUGCAACUCGACUACAUGAAGCUGGAAUCGCUAGUAAUCGUAGAUCAGCAUGCUACGGUGAAUACGAUCGCGGGUCU
RNAcentral lists this ribosomal RNA (1372 nucleotides) under uncultured bacterium. Its description in RNAcentral is "bacterial SSU rRNA". It matches the Rfam family "Bacterial small subunit ribosomal RNA", at positions 28 to 1381 of the family's 1533-position model. The record is from RNAcentral.